Molecule: transfer RNA, 72 nt
Filed under: Bos taurus (domestic cattle)
Lineage: Eukaryota; Metazoa; Chordata; Mammalia; Artiodactyla; Bovidae
Also listed under: 2 other names
Rfam family: tRNA
About the family: Transfer RNA (tRNA) molecules are approximately 80 nucleotides in length. Their secondary structure includes four short double-helical elements and three loops (D, anti-codon, and T loops).
Source: Rfam by way of RNAcentral
UUCCUGGGGGUCCAGUGGCUAAGACUCCACGCUCCCAGUGUGGGGGCCUGGGUUCGAUCCCUGGUCGGGGAA